RNAcentral lists this ribosomal RNA (86 nucleotides) under Corynebacterium diphtheriae. RNAcentral also lists the same sequence under 2 other names. Lineage: Bacteria; Bacillati; Actinomycetota; Actinomycetes; Mycobacteriales; Corynebacteriaceae. The record is from RNAcentral.
GUCCCUUUCCGAACCCGGAAGCUAAGCCCGAUUGCGCUGAUGGUACUGCACCUGGGAGGGUGUGGGAGAGUAGGUCGCCGCCAACC